GAUCAUGGCUCAGGAUGAACGCUAGCUACAGGCUUAACACAUGCAAGUCGAGGGGCAUCGGGAUCUGUGCUUGCACAGAUUGCCGGCGACCGGCGCACGGGUGAGUAACGCGUAUCCAACCUUCCCCUUAGUAGGGCAUAGCCCGGCGAAAGUCGGAUUAAUACCCUAUGUUUUCCAAUGAGGACAUCUGAGCUGGAACAAAGAUUCAUCGCUAAGGGAUGGGGAUGCGUCCGAUUAGCUUGCCGGCGGGGUAACGGCCCACCGGGGCGACGAUCGGUAGGGGUUCUGAGAGGAAGGUCCCCCACACUGGUACUGAGACACGGACCAGACUCCUACGGGAGGCAGCAGUGAGGAAUAUUGGUCAAUGGGCGUGAGCCUGAACCAGCCAAGUAGCGUGCAGGAAUGACGGCCCUAUGGGUUGUAAACUGCUUUUAUGCGGGGAUAAAGUGCGCCACGUGUGGCGUUUUGCAGGUACCGCAUGAAUAAGGACCGGCUAAUUCCGUGCCAGCAGCAGC
RNAcentral lists this ribosomal RNA (515 nucleotides) under uncultured bacterium. Its description in RNAcentral is "bacterial SSU rRNA". It matches the Rfam family "Bacterial small subunit ribosomal RNA", at positions 15 to 518 of the family's 1533-position model. The record is from RNAcentral.